GUCACCUUGUGAGGAAGAUGCCUACUUCCCCUUCUGCCAUGAUGGGGCUAUCUAUCUAUCUGAAAAAAUCUGAACUAGAGUCUUGCCAAGGUUUGGAGUUUUUCCCAACAAAAUCUGGAAUAACUGGAUAUCAGCACAACCAAGUUGCCACUUACAGAGGUUGUAAUUGCACAGCUACAGGUGGUAGCACUUGCUUCGUUUCCAUUGUUUUCAAAACAGCUGUCUUGGUAAUAUGUUUUACUCUUCUGAAAUGAGGUGAAAGAAACAGAAAAGAAAAGAAAAAGAUGGGGGCUAUUUUCUUGAGUUUAUUUUCCUUGAGCUCUUUAGAAACUAAAUCAAAUGUAACUGGUCUGUAGCAGGCAUUCUACUAGGAGAGAGUCUAUGGGGGUUAAAGGAUAUUAAUGUUUUAAAAACCUAAUGAUUUUUGUCAAACACUUUCCAUAAAGGUUGUUUAAGGAUUGCAUGGAUGGGUGGAUGAAUAAAUAAAAUAAAGAUGGCAGAUUUACUUUAUUUGGGAAGGCAGCAUGUUGGGAUAGAAAAUUCAAGGACUCAUAAUUGCUUUGUGACAUGUCUAAAACUGGAAUAAUUCGGGGGAAUUAGCAUAACCUCUGAAGAACAACAUUGCAUUUUUAAAAACAUAUGAACAAGAAGCUUUCAUCUGUUAGUUCAAACAAGAAUGGUAUGCCUAUUUUUCAUCUAUCCAUUAGCAAAGAUUAAAAAGUAAUACAGUAAUAGUCAUAGUAAGGGUGUUGUAAGACAAACACUCUCAAUUACUGCUGGUGUGAAUUGAUACAACCUUCCUGGAAAACUCAGUAACAAGUAACAAGAGUCUUAAAAAUUUCCAUACCCUUUAUUCCAAUUAUUCAUCUUUUAAUUGAAUUUCUUGCCGAGCAUGAUUUGUAUAUGAAGAGGUUUAUUGCGGUGCUUUUUGUAAUAGUGAAAAACUGGUAGCGUCCAAAUGUAUAUUAGAACGAUUAAGUAAAUGAUAGAAUAUCCAUAUAAUAGUAUAUUCUACUACCAUUAAAACUUAUAAGUAUGGCUGGGCGCGGUGGCUCACGCCUGUAAUCCCAGCACUUUGGGAGGCCGAGGUGGGUGGAUCAUGAGGUCAGGAGAUCGAGACCAUCC
RNAcentral lists this long non-coding RNA (1125 nucleotides) under Homo sapiens (human). RNAcentral's name for it is "HSALNT0043593". Lineage: Eukaryota; Metazoa; Chordata; Mammalia; Primates; Hominidae. The record is from RNAcentral.